GAUGAACGCUGGCUACAGGCUUAACACAUGCAAGUCGAGGGGAAACGACGGGGAAGCUUGCUUCCCCGGGCGUCGACCGGCGCACGGGUGAGUAACGCGUAUCCAACCUGCCUCUGACUGAGGGAUAACCCGUCGAAAGUCGGCCUAAUACCUCAUGGCAUCGUCUGCGGGCAUCCAACGACGAUUAAAGAUUUCAUCGGUCAGGGAUGGGGAUGCGUCUGAUUAGCUUGUUGGCGGGGUAACGGCCCACCAAGGCGACGAUCAGUAGGGGUUCUGAGAGGAAGGUCCCCCACAUUGGAACUGAGACACGGUCCAAACUCCUACGGGAGGCAGCAGUGAGGAAUAUUGGUCAAUGGGCGAGAGCCUGAACCAGCCAAGUAGCGUGCAGGAUGACGGCCCUAUGGGUUGUAAACUGCUUUUAUGCGGGGAUAAAGUGAGGGACGUGUCCUUCAGUGCAGGACCGCAUA
RNAcentral lists this ribosomal RNA (467 nucleotides) under Segatella oris. RNAcentral describes it as "bacterial SSU rRNA". It matches the Rfam family "Bacterial small subunit ribosomal RNA", at positions 28 to 484 of the family's 1533-position model. Lineage: Bacteria; Pseudomonadati; Bacteroidota; Bacteroidia; Bacteroidales; Prevotellaceae. The record is from RNAcentral.